AAAACUUUCAMMAMSGRWUYUCUUGGUUCCAGCAUCCAUGAAAAACGCAGCAAAUGCGAUAACUAAUGUGAAUUGCAUAAUUCAGUGAAUCAUCGAGUCUUUGAACGCACAUUGCGCCCCUCGGUAUUCCGGGGGGCAUGCCUGUUCGAGCGUCAUU
This 157-nucleotide ribosomal RNA is filed under the name Cetraria islandica. RNAcentral's name for it is "5.8S ribosomal RNA". It matches the Rfam family "5.8S ribosomal RNA". From Rfam's summary of the family: 5.8S ribosomal RNA (5.8S rRNA) is a component of the large subunit of the eukaryotic ribosome. It is transcribed by RNA polymerase I as part of the 45S precursor that also contains 18S and 28S rRNA. The record is from RNAcentral. Lineage: Eukaryota; Fungi; Ascomycota; Lecanoromycetes; Lecanorales; Parmeliaceae.